GCUCCCUGAUGUUAGCGGCGGACGGGUGAGUAACACGUGGGUAACCUGCCUGUAAGACUGGGAUAACUCCGGGAAACCGGGGCUAAUACCGGAUGGUUGUUUGAACCGCAUGGUUCAAACAUAAAAGGUGGCUUCGGCUACCACUUACAGAUGGACCCGCGGCGCAUUAGCUAGUUGGUGAGGUAACGGCUCACCAAGGCAACGAUGCGUAGCCGACCUGAGAGGGUGAUCGGCCACACUGGGACUGAGACACGGCCCAGACUCCUACGGGAGGCAGCAGUAGGGAAUCUUCCGCAAUGGACGAAAGUCUGACGGAGCAACGCCGCGUGAGUGAUGAAGGUUUUCGGAUCGUAAAGCUCUGUUGUUAGGGAAGAACAAGUACCGUUCGAAUAGGGCGGUACCUUGACGGUACCUAACCAGAAAGCCACGGCUAACUACGUGCCAGCAGCCGCGGUAAUACGUAGGUGGCAAGCGUUGUCCGGAAUUAUUGGGCGUAAAGGGCUCGCAGGCGGUUUCUUAAGUCUGAUGUGAAAGCCCCCGGCUCAACCGGGGAGGGUCAUUGGAAACUGGGGAACUUGAGUGCAGAAGAGGAGAGUGGAAUUCCACGUGUAGCGGUGAAAUGCGUAGAGAUGUGGAGGAACACCAGUGGCGAAGGCGACUCUCUGGUCUGUAACUGACGCUGAGGAGCGAAAGCGUGGGGAGCGAACAGGAUUAGAUACCCUGGUAGUCCACGCYGUAAACGAUGAGUGCUAAGUGUUAGGGGGUUUCCGCCCCUUAGUGCUGCAGCUA
RNAcentral lists this ribosomal RNA (789 nucleotides) under Bacillus licheniformis. RNAcentral's name for it is "bacterial SSU rRNA". It matches the Rfam family "Bacterial small subunit ribosomal RNA", at positions 81 to 854 of the family's 1533-position model. Lineage: Bacteria; Bacillati; Bacillota; Bacilli; Caryophanales; Bacillaceae. The record is from RNAcentral.